RNAcentral lists this long non-coding RNA (909 nucleotides) under Ictidomys tridecemlineatus (thirteen-lined ground squirrel). RNAcentral describes it as "lncRNA (ENSSTOG00000031693.1)". Lineage: Eukaryota; Metazoa; Chordata; Mammalia; Rodentia; Sciuridae. The record is from RNAcentral.
ACCAGCCAAGACUAGCCCACCAAUGACCAAUUUCCUCUUAUUUUUUAAAGUCUCCCAUGCAGCGUAAGUUGCUGAUUCCAAAGUGGAGGAAACUGCACUGUGUAAUUUCCCUGCAGAGCUAACCUCGUGGAUGAAAAGAGGCUGAAGAUGUCUGCAGGGGAUCCAGGCGAUUUCUAUUAUAGUGCAUCAUUUCCCACUGGCUUUGACCUGCUCUGUGUGAAUUUUAUUCCAACGCUGUCCAUGUUGGGAUGCUAGAGGCAGUGACACCAUCACAGAAGAAACAAUCACUCUGCUGGAGGAACUUCAGUCCUGUCUGAUUAUAAACAAUUGUGAUGGCCUUCAAAGAAGUAGUGUAAACAGAAAGUGUUUUACAAGUAGAGGAGAAGCAAAGUUACUCAGAAAAAAGGCAUGCUGGAGAGGGCUUCCUGAGUGAGAGAACCCAACUGUGUUAUCCUGAGGCUGGAUGAGGGGGAAUCAGACUGGACAUUUGUGCAAGCAGAUGUGGAAAUGUCCAUACCCACUCAGGCAAUCAUUCAGCUGGAGUUAAAACAUUCUUGUAGAAAGACACCUAGAGAGAGACAGAGAGACUGAUUCAAGGUCAGAAUGUGGGAUGCUGUGAAUACUAAGUUAAAGGUAAAAUAUUGAAAAAUGAAAUAGAAAACAUGAGGCUCAUUUAUGAAAUGAAAUGAUAUCAAUUAUCAAAAGUUUCAUUCACAGACAUUCGAAAGAUUUUACUGUAUAAAUGUACACAAAAACUGAUAGAGUACUAAUUUUCAUUCAAGCUUAAUUUCUUGAUUUUAUUAAUCAUUUAUAUCUCAAAAGCUUUACUAAGAAGGCUCUGUAUUCUUAGUUUAUUUUUGUAUGUGUGCAUAAAAAAAUUCAUAGAUGACUUUCAAGUUCUUUGUUUUU